UACGGGGGGAGCAAGCGUUGUUCGGAUUUACUGGGCGUAAAGGGCGCGUAGGCGGUCAGCACGAGUCAGUUGUGAAAUCUCCGGGCUUAACUCGGAAAGGUCAACUGAUACUGUGCGACUAGAGUGCAGAAGGGGCAACUGGAAUUCUCGGUGUAGCGGUGAAAUGCGUAGAUAUCGAGAGGAACACCUGCGGCGAAGGCGGGUUGCUGGGCUGACACUGACGCUGAGGAGCGAAAGCCAGGGGAGCAAACGGG
Molecule: ribosomal RNA, 254 nt
Filed under: uncultured bacterium
Lineage: Bacteria
Description: partial 16S ribosomal RNA
Rfam family: Bacterial small subunit ribosomal RNA
Source: RNAcentral